Molecule: transfer RNA, 74 nt
Filed under: Anguilla anguilla (European eel)
Lineage: Eukaryota; Metazoa; Chordata; Actinopteri; Anguilliformes; Anguillidae
Description: tRNA-Gly
Source: RNAcentral
GAUUACAAUGGUGCAGCGGUUAGCACUGUUGCCUCCCAAGAAGGAGGUUCUGGGUUUGAGUCCCAGCUGGAUCC